AGGGUUUGAUCAUGGCUCAGAAUCAACGCUGGCAGCGUGCCUCAGACAUGCAAGUCGAACGAUUAAAGCUCCCUUCGGGGAGUGCAUAAAGUGGCGCACGGGUGAGUAACACGUAAGUAAUCUACCCUCGGGUGGGGAAUAACAUCGGGAAACCGAUGCUAAUACCGCAUAAUGCAGCGGCACCGCAAGGUGACAGUUGUUAAAGAUUUAUUGCCUGGGAGGAGCUUGCGGCAGAUUAGCUUGUUGGUAAGGUAACGGCUUACCAAGGCGACGAUCUGUAUCCGGUCUAAGAGGACGGUCGGACACACUGACACUGAAUAACGGGUCAGACUCCUACGGGAGGCAGCAGUCGGGAAUUUUGGGCAAUGGGGGAAACCCUGACCCAGCAACGCCGCGUGAAGGAUGAAGUAUUUCGGUAUGUAAACUUCGAAAGAAUAGGAAGAAUUAAUGACGGUACUAUUUAUAAAGUCCGGCUAACUACGUGCCAGCAGCCGCGGUAAUACGUAGGGACCAAGCGUUGUUCGGAUUUACUGGGCGUAAAGGGCGCGUAGGCGGCGUGGUAAGUCACUUGUGAAAUCUCUGAGCUUAACUCAGAACGGCCAAGUGAUACUGCUGUGCUCGAGUGUGGAAGGGGCAAUCGGAAUUCUUGGUGUAGCGGUGAAAUGCGUAGAUAUCAAGAGGAACACCUGAGGUGAAGACGGGUUGCUGGGCCAACACUGACGCUGAGGCGCGAAAGCCAGGGGAGCAAACGGGAUUAGAUACCCCGGUAGUCCUGGCCCUAAAC
Molecule: ribosomal RNA, 784 nt
Filed under: uncultured Acidobacteriota bacterium
Lineage: Bacteria; Pseudomonadati; Acidobacteriota
Description: bacterial SSU rRNA
Rfam family: Bacterial small subunit ribosomal RNA
Source: RNAcentral